GACGAACGCUGGCGGCGGGCUUAACACAUGCAAGUCGAACGAGAAAGGGAUCUUCGGAUCCUGAGUAAAGUGGCGCACGGGUGAGUAACGCGUAGGCAAUCUGCCCUCAGCUGGGGAAUAACCACGGGAAACCGUGGCUAAUACCACAUAAUGUCGGAGGACCGCAUGGUCCACCGAUCAAAGUUUCAGCGGCUGAGGAUGAGCCUGCGUUGGAUUAGCUAGUUGGUGAGGUAACAGCUCACCAAGGCGACGAUCCAUAGCGGGUCUGAGAGGAUGAUCCGCCACACUGGCACUGAGACACGGGCCAGACUCCUACGGGAGGCAGCAGUGAGGAAUAUUGCGCAAUGGAGGAAACUCUGACGCAGCCACGCCGCGUGCAGGAAGACACCCCUCAGGGGCGUAAACUGCUUUUAUACGGGAAGAACACCCUCUUCUGGAGGGUCUGACGGUACCGUACGAAUAAGGACCGGCUAACUCCG
RNAcentral lists this ribosomal RNA (479 nucleotides) under uncultured Rubricoccus sp. Its description in RNAcentral is "bacterial SSU rRNA". It matches the Rfam family "Bacterial small subunit ribosomal RNA", at positions 28 to 505 of the family's 1533-position model. The record is from RNAcentral. Lineage: Bacteria; Pseudomonadati; Rhodothermota; Rhodothermia; Rhodothermales; Rubricoccaceae.